CUCUGCUAUUUUUAUCUAAAAUCCAUGAAUAUUUGACUCUUAUUUGAUAGCAUAUGGGGCGGCAACUUUUUAUAUAGUAGACUAGGUCAUAAAACCUAGUCUAACAAAAAGUCCAUGGGGUGUCCAACUCUUGGACGCCCCCUCCCUCAUAAAUUUCAUGGAGAGCAUGAAAUAACUCACAAAAGGGACUACAAAAAGAAG
Molecule: long non-coding RNA, 201 nt
Filed under: Elaeis guineensis (African oil palm)
Lineage: Eukaryota; Viridiplantae; Streptophyta; Magnoliopsida; Arecales; Arecaceae
Description: long non-coding RNA (EGUI_LNC034265)
Source: RNAcentral